RNAcentral lists this ribosomal RNA (501 nucleotides) under uncultured bacterium. RNAcentral's name for it is "partial 16S ribosomal RNA". It matches the Rfam family "Bacterial small subunit ribosomal RNA", at positions 30 to 523 of the family's 1533-position model. The record is from RNAcentral.
AUUGAACGCUGGCGGCAGGCUUAACACAUGCAAGUCGAGCGGGGGAAGGUAGCUUGCUACCGGACCUAGCGGCGGACGGGUGAGUAAUGCUUAGGAAUCUGCCUAUUAGUGGGGGACAACAUCUCGAAAGGGAUGCUAAUACCGCAUACGUCCUACGGGAGAAAGCAGGGGAUCUUCGGACCUUGCGCUAAUAGAUGAGCCUAAGUCGGAUUAGCUAGUUGGUGGGGUAAAGGCCUACCAAGGCGACGAUCUGUAGCGGGUCUGAGAGGAUGGUCUGCCACACUGGGACUGAGACACGGCCCGGACUCCUACGGGAGGCAGCAGUGGGGAAUAUUGGACAAUGGGGGGAACCCUGAUCCAGCCAUGCCGCGUGUGUGAAGAAGGCCUUAUGGUUGUAAAGCACUUUAAGCGAGGAGGAGGCUACUUUAGUUAAUACCUAGAGAUAGUGGACGUUACUCGCAGAAUAAGCACCGGCUAACUCUGUGCCAGCCGCCGCCGUAA